ACGGAAGGCAGCAGUGAGGAAUAUUGGUCAAUGGAGGCAACUCUGAACCAGCCAUCUCGCGUGAAGGGAUACGGCCCUACGGGUCUUAAACUUCUUUUAUAGGGGGAUAAAGUGAGAUAUGCGUAUCUUUUUGUAGGUACCCUAUGAAUAAGCAUCGGCUAACUCCGUGCCAGCAGCCGCGGUAAUACGGAGGAUGCAGGCGUUAUCCGGAUUUAUUAGGUUUAAAGGGUGCGCAGGCGGGACACUAAGUCGGCGGUGAAAUCUCAUGGCCCAACCAUGAAACUGCCAUCGAUACUGGUGACCUUGAGUACGAAUGAGGAAGGCGGAAUGAGUCGUGUAGCGGUGAAAUGCUUAGAUAUGACUCAGAACACCAAUUGCGAAGGCAGCUUUCCAAAACGCAACUGACGCUCAUGCACGAAAGCGUGGGUAGCGAACAGGACUAGAUACCCUGGUA
RNAcentral lists this ribosomal RNA (454 nucleotides) under uncultured Paludibacter sp. RNAcentral describes it as "partial 16S ribosomal RNA". It matches the Rfam family "Bacterial small subunit ribosomal RNA", at positions 341 to 792 of the family's 1533-position model. The record is from RNAcentral. Lineage: Bacteria; Pseudomonadati; Bacteroidota; Bacteroidia; Bacteroidales; Paludibacteraceae.